RNAcentral lists this ribosomal RNA (441 nucleotides) under uncultured bacterium. Its description in RNAcentral is "partial 16S ribosomal RNA". It matches the Rfam family "Bacterial small subunit ribosomal RNA", at positions 338 to 795 of the family's 1533-position model. The record is from RNAcentral.
CCUACGGGUGGCUGCAGUGGGGAAUCUUGCGCAAUGGGCGAAAGCCUGACGCAGCCAUGCCGCGUGAAUGAUGAAGGUCUUAGGAUUGUAAAGUUCUUUCGCUCGUGACGAUGAUGACGGUAACGAGAGAAGAAGCCCCGGCUAACUUCGUGCCAGCAGCCGCGGUAGUACGAAGGGGGCUAGCGUUGUUCGGAAUUACUGGGCGUAAAGCGCGCGUAGGCGGUUUUGCAAGCCAGAGGUGAAAUGCCUGAGCUCAACUUAGGAAUUGCCUUUGGGACUGGGAGGCGUUGAGGACGGAAGAGGUGAGUGGAAUUCCCAGUGUAGAGGUGAAAUUCGUAGAUAUUGGGAAGAACACCGGUGGCGAAGGCGGCUCACUGGUCCGUUUCUGACGCUGUAGCGCGAAAGCGUGGGGAUCAAACAGGAUUAGAUACCCGUGUAGUC